UAUACAGUGAAACUGCGAAUGGCUCAUUAAAUCAGUUAUCGUUUAUUUGAUAGUACCUUACUACUUGGAUAACCGUGGUAAUUCUAGAGCUAAUACAUGCUAAAAACCCCGACUUCGGAAGGGGUGUAUUUAUUAGAUAAAAAACCAAUGCCCUUCGGGGCUCCUUGGUGAUUCAUAAUAACUUAACGAAUCGCAUGGCCUUGUGCCGGCGAUGGUUCAUUCAAAUUUCUGCCCUAUCAACUUUCGAUGGUAGGAUAGUGGCCUACCAUGGUUUCAACGGGUAACGGGGAAUUAGGGUUCUAUUCCGGAGAGGGAGCCUGAGAAACGGCUACCACAUCCAAGGAAGGCAGCAGGCGCGCAAAUUACCCAAUCCCGACACGGGGAGGUAGUGACAAAAAAUAUUAAUCCAGGGCUCUUUUGGGUCUUGGAAUUGAAAUGAGUACAAUUUAAAUCCCUUAACGAGGAACAAUUGGAGGGCAAGUCUGGUGCCAGCAGCCGCGGUAAUUCCAGCUCCAAUAGCGUAUAUUAAAGUUGUUGCAGUUAAAAAGCUCGUAGUUGAACCUUGGGCCUGGCUGGCCGGUCCGCCUCACCGCGUGCACUGGUCCGGCCGGGCCUUUCCUUCUGGGGAGCCUCAUGCCCUUCACUGGGUGUGUUGGGGAACCAGGACUUUUACUUUGAAAAAAUUAGAGUGUUCAAAGCAGGCCUAUGCUCGAAUACAUUAGCAUGGAAUAAUAGAAUAGGACGUGUGGUUCUAUUUUGUUGGUUUCUAGGACCGCCGUAAUGAUUAAUAGGGAUAGUCGGGGGCAUCAGUAUUCAAUUGUCAGAGGUGAAAUUCUUGGAUUUAUUGAAGACUAACUACUGCGAAAGCAUUUGCCAAGGAUGUUUUCAUUAAUCAGUGAACGAAAGUUAGGGGAUCGAAGACGAUCAGAUACCGUCGUAGUCUUAACCAUAAACUAUGCCGACUAGGGAUCGGGCGAUGUUAUCUUUUUGACUCGCUCGGCACCUUACGAGAAAUCAAAGUC
Molecule: ribosomal RNA, 1022 nt
Filed under: Eleutheromyces subulatus
Lineage: Eukaryota; Fungi; Ascomycota; Leotiomycetes; Phacidiales; Helicogoniaceae
Description: SSU rRNA
Rfam family: Eukaryotic small subunit ribosomal RNA
Source: RNAcentral